Molecule: ribosomal RNA, 636 nt
Filed under: Bacillus sp. (in: firmicutes)
Lineage: Bacteria; Bacillati; Bacillota; Bacilli; Caryophanales; Bacillaceae
Description: bacterial SSU rRNA
Rfam family: Bacterial small subunit ribosomal RNA
Source: RNAcentral
CCGCGUGAGUGAUGAAGGUUUUCGGAUCGUAAAGCUCUGUUGUUAGGGAAGAACAAGUGCGAGAGUAACUGCUCGCACCUUGACGGUACCUAACCAGAAAGCCACGGCUAACUACGUGCCAGCAGCCGCGGUAAUACGUAGGUGGCAAGCGUUGUCCGGAAUUAUUGGGCGUAAAGGGCUCGCAGGCGGUUUCUUAAGUCUGAUGUGAAAGCCCCCGGCUCAACCGGGGAGGGUCAUUGGAAACUGGGAAACUUGAGUGCAGAAGAGGAGAGUGGAAUUCCACGUGUAGCGGUGAAAUGCGUAGAGAUGUGGAGGAACACCAGUGGCGAAGGCGACUCUCUGGUCUGUAACUGACGCUGAGGAGCGAAAGCGUGGGGAGCGAACAGGAUUAGAUACCCUGGUAGUCCACGCCGUAAACGAUGAGUGCUAAGUGUUAGGGGGUUUCCGCCCCUUAGUGCUGCAGCUAACGCAUUAAGCACUCCGCCUGGGGAGUACGGUCGCAAGACUGAAACUCAAAGGAAUUGACGGGGGCCCGCACAAGCGGUGGAGCAUGUGGUUUAAUUCGAAGCAACGCGAAGAACCUUACCAGGUCUUGACAUCCUCUGACAACCCUAGAGAUAGGGCUUUCCCUUCGGG